Molecule: transfer RNA, 86 nt
Rfam family: tRNA
About the family: Transfer RNA (tRNA) molecules are approximately 80 nucleotides in length.
Source: Rfam
GGUGAGUUGUCCGAAUGGUAAGGAAGCGGAUUGCUAAUCCGUAGAUCGUCUCUGACGGUCUGAGAGUUCGAGUCUCUCACUCACCG